RNAcentral lists this unclassified non-coding RNA (200 nucleotides) under fungal sp. Its description in RNAcentral is "partial internal transcribed spacer 2". The record is from RNAcentral. Lineage: Eukaryota; Fungi.
UUAAGUUCAGCGGGUAUCCCUACCUGAUCCGAGGUCAACCGAUAAAAUAAUGUUCAAGGCAAGCGUCCAGGUGGCUUGAAAAGCGGUAUCGAGAUUACUACGCUCCAAGUCUACACUGGGCUCCGCCAAUGAUUUUGAGAUCAAUCCACACAAUGCGGGAUAUAGAUCCAAUUCCAAGCUAGGCUUGAGGGUUGUAAUGA